RNAcentral lists this ribosomal RNA (436 nucleotides) under uncultured Anaerovorax sp. RNAcentral's name for it is "bacterial SSU rRNA". It matches the Rfam family "Bacterial small subunit ribosomal RNA", at positions 341 to 792 of the family's 1533-position model. Lineage: Bacteria; Bacillati; Bacillota; Clostridia; Peptostreptococcales; Anaerovoracaceae. The record is from RNAcentral.
ACGGAAGGCAGCAGUGGGGAAUAUUGCACAAUGGAGGAAACUCUGAUGCAGCCACGCCGCGUGCGCGAAGACGGUCUUCGGAUUGUAAAGCUCUGUCCUUGGGGACGAAGAAAGUGACGGUACCUAAGGAGGAAGCCCCGGCUAACUACGUGCCAGCAGCCGCGGUAAUACGUAGGGGGCAAGCGUUAUCCGGAAUUAUUGGGCGUAAAGAGUACGUAGGUGGUUUUGUAAGCGUAAGGUGAAAGCCCGGGGCUUAACCCCGGCCAGCCAUACGAACUGCAAGACUUGAGUGCAGGAGGGGAAAGUGGAAUUCCUAGUGUAGCGGUGAAAUGCGUAGAUAUUAGGAGGAACACCAGUGGCGAAGGCGACUUUCUGGAUUGUAACUGACACUGAGGUACGAAAGCGUGGGGAGCAAACAGGAUUAGAUACCCUGGUA